CGGAUUGCACCUGCACAUCAUCGACGUGGAAGACGGUGCACCACCGCGGCUCCCCCCCUGUUCCCAUUCCUCAUGCUGCGACUUAGCGUCGCGCUCUGGAGACGGCGCGCUGCUGGUAUUGUGGGGCUACCGAAUGUGGGCAAGUCCACCCUCUUUAACGCCCUCACGUGCAGCCAAAUAGCAAAGACGGGCAACUUUCCAUUCUGUACGAUCGACGCGAACACGUCGAAGGUGCCGAUCGUCGAUCCGCGGCUGCGCCAGCUGGCGCAGUUCACUCAGGCAGAGAAGAUUGUCGACGUCGAGGUAGACUUGACGGACGUGGCGGGGCUGAUCGCUGGAGCAUCGAAGGGGGCCGGGCUCGGCAAUAAGUUCCUCGCUGACAUCCGAAACUGCGCCGUGCUGCUGCAUACGGUGCGCUGCUUCGAGAGCUCCAAGGAGGGCUUUGACACCCCGCACCCUCUGGAUGACAUUCAUGUCAUUCUGAGUGAGCUUGUCCUGUCGGACCUCGAGAUGGUGGAGAAGCGGAUGCGCAAGGUACAAAAGACGAUGAAGGCGCAGGACGUUGAAUACAGCUUCUUGAAGCGCCUUCAGCAGUGGCUGGAGGAGGGCAAGCCAGCAGCAGACAUGCCUGCAAAGGCGAAGCUCACUGUGACGGAGAAAGGCUUGCUGCAGAGCUACGACUUGCUCUCCCACAAGCCCAUGAUGUUUGUGCUGAACGUGGACGAGCGGGGUGUGAAGGAUGGCAACGCCUUCUCUCGUGAGGUGGAGGCCGCCUUCGGGGCCGAGCGGACCUGCCGUGUGUCGGUCGCCAUCGAGGAGCAGACAGCACAACUUGCAUCGCGCGAGGAGCAGCUCAUGUUCCUGGAAGAGUACGGCAUCGACGUGCCGCGUGGCCAGGUACUGAUGAAGCAGGUGUAUGCGCUGCUCAAGCUUCAGUCCUUUUUCACAGUGGGGCCGAAGAUGGCGCAUGGCUGGACAGUGGCGCAGGGCUCAACGGCGCGGCAGGCAGCCGGUGAGAUCCACUCCGACUUCGAGAAGAACUUUGUGCGCGCCAAGGUGAUGACAUGGGACACGUUCAUCGGGCGACCAAACCUCGAAUCUGCGGAGAUGCAGAUGCGCACGGUGAACGACAGGUACGUGAUGCAGGAUGGCGAGGUGUUCAUUGUAGAGCACAACACGCAGCGUGGGUAGCGUUGCUAGAUCGCGCUGAUGCGCAGGUCGGGGUGGGGCUAGGGCGAGCAAGGAUUGCGAGAGCCCCAUACCUUUCUUGCCACAGCCACCACCGUUGCGCAUGACGCAUACGUGUAAGCGCAGGUGUACACUUGCUCUACUCACGUGCCUGUGCCACUGAAUGAGGAAGGAGAAAGAGGGGCGAGUGGGCUGUGCGUGUCUGUGCCCGCGCCCACGCACAUGCAUGAGAGCGGGUCUAUGUCUCAUCGUUGGUAACGACGGUUGUUCACACAAGGCGCUUAGCCAAG
This 1478-nucleotide unclassified non-coding RNA is filed under the name Leishmania donovani. RNAcentral describes it as "gene:LdHU3.27.2670(CDS-product:GTP_binding_protei n_putative)". The record is from RNAcentral. Lineage: Eukaryota; Euglenozoa; Kinetoplastea; Trypanosomatida; Trypanosomatidae.